This 366-nucleotide long non-coding RNA is filed under the name Elaeis guineensis (African oil palm). RNAcentral describes it as "long non-coding RNA (EGUI_LNC024005)". Lineage: Eukaryota; Viridiplantae; Streptophyta; Magnoliopsida; Arecales; Arecaceae. The record is from RNAcentral.
UACCAUGUCCCUCUUUCCAAUGCCUAAGUUCCUAAUGAAAUGCAUUGAUACCUCCUUAAAUAUCUCCAAGAUUCCAACUUUAUCUUUCAAAUGAAAAAUAACUCCCAUGGAAAGAUGGCUAGCUCUUUCAUGAUUUCAAGGCUUAAAUUAAUGUCUGAGAUAAGAAAGGGUGCCAAGGAUGUACGUGGCCCUCAAGCCGUCAACAACUAGUGGUCAAGUUGCCCCCUCGGAUCGUUUUAUCAUUGUGUUUGAGAGAGACGGAGAGAUAGGGAAACGAGGUCAAACUUAUAGGGAAAGUGGGAAAGGAUUGGAGAGUAGCAUCUUGCGAAGAGAUAAACGAGAAACUUAUAUCUAAUAUCUAUCUUC